RNAcentral lists this unclassified non-coding RNA (297 nucleotides) under uncultured fungus. Its description in RNAcentral is "sequence contains ITS1". The stretch from base 1 to 97 matches the Rfam family "5.8S ribosomal RNA", at positions 50 to 154 of the family's 154-position model. Lineage: Eukaryota; Fungi. The record is from RNAcentral.
AAAGUGCGAUAAUUAGUGCGAUUUGCAUGAAUCUGUGAGUCAUCAAGUAUUUGAACGCAACUUGCGCUCCAUUUGGAGCAUGUCUGUUUGAGUGGUAUAUAAUCUAUAUGACUGUGCAUGUGUGUAUAUUCAUGAAUUGCUAGUCCAUUACGAGUCUAGUUAAAUAAAGAUUUUGUUUCUAUGGAAGGAGAGUCUUUCUUUAAAGUUAGAGACGUCAAGUCUUGUUUAAGGAAUCACCCUCCACGCCCAUACACCAUCAACACCCUCAAAUCAGUCAAGACUACCCGCUGAACUUAA